This 490-nucleotide ribosomal RNA is filed under the name uncultured bacterium. Its description in RNAcentral is "partial 16S ribosomal RNA". It matches the Rfam family "Bacterial small subunit ribosomal RNA", at positions 30 to 507 of the family's 1533-position model. The record is from RNAcentral.
AUUGAACGCUGGCGGCAGGCUUAACACAUGCAAGUCGAGCGGUAGCACAAGAGAGCUUGCUCUCUGGGUGACGAGCGGCGGACGGGUGAGUAAUGUCUGGGAAACUGCCUGAUGGAGGGGGAUAACUACUGGAAACGGUAGCUAAUACCGCAUAACGUCGCAAGACCAAAGAGGGGGACCUUCGGGCCUCUUGCCAUCAGAUGUGCCCAGAUGGGAUUAGCUAGUAGGUGGGGUAAUGGCUCACCUAGGCGACGAUUCCUAGCUGGUCUGAGAGGAUGACCGGCCACAUGGGAGCUGAGACACGGUCCAGGCUCCUACGGGAGGCAGCAGUCGGGAAUGUUGCGCAGUGGGCGCAAGCCUGAUGCAGCCAUGCCGCGUGUGUGAAGGAGGCCUUCGGGUUGUAAAGCACUUUCAGCGAGGAGGAAGCUGGUGAACUUAAUACGUUCAUCAAUUGACGUUACUCGCAGAAGAAGCACCGGCUAACUCCGUG